Cervus elaphus (red deer) is the source of this 207-nucleotide long non-coding RNA. RefSeq lists it as uncharacterized. The transcript is spliced from 3 exons. Lineage: Eukaryota; Metazoa; Chordata; Mammalia; Artiodactyla; Cervidae. The record is from RefSeq and is a predicted model, not a curated record.
GGACUGGAAAAGGUCAGUUUUCAUUACAAUCCCAAAGAAAGGCAAUGCCAAAGAAUGUUCAAACUACCACAUAAUUGAACUCAUCUCACAAACUAGCAAAGUAAUUCUCAAAAUUAUCGAAGUCAGGCGUCAAGAGUACGUGAACCGUGACAUUCCAGAUGUUCAAGCUGGAUUUAGGAAAGAACCAGAGAUCAAAUUGCCAACAUC